Molecule: transfer RNA, 66 nt
Filed under: Alcanivorax borkumensis
Lineage: Bacteria; Pseudomonadati; Pseudomonadota; Gammaproteobacteria; Oceanospirillales; Alcanivoracaceae
Also listed under: 19 other names
Rfam family: tRNA
About the family: Transfer RNA (tRNA) molecules are approximately 80 nucleotides in length. Their secondary structure includes four short double-helical elements and three loops (D, anti-codon, and T loops).
Source: RNAcentral
UCGUUAGCUCAGUUGGUAGAGCAGUUGGCUUUUAACCAAUUGGUCGCUGGUUCGAAUCCAGCACGA